This 429-nucleotide ribosomal RNA is filed under the name uncultured bacterium. RNAcentral's name for it is "bacterial SSU rRNA". It matches the Rfam family "Bacterial small subunit ribosomal RNA", at positions 355 to 775 of the family's 1533-position model. The record is from RNAcentral.
UGAGGAAUCUUGCGCAAUGGGGGAAACCCUGACGCAGCGACGCCGCGUGAGUGAGGAAGGUCUUCGGAUCGUAAAGCUCUGUCGGGUGGAAAGAAGUGGGGAAAGGUGAACAGCCUUUCUCCUUGACGGUACCACCGAAGGAAGCACCGGCUAACUCCGUGCCAGCAGCCGCGGUAAUACGGAGGGUGCGAGCGUUGUUCGGAAUCAUUGGGCGUAAAGAGCGUGUAGGCGGCUUGGCAAGUCGGAUGUGAAAUCCCUGGGCUCAACCCAGGAAGUGCAUUUGAAACUGCGCUGCUGGAGUAUGGGAGAGGGAAGUGGAAUUCCUGGUGUAGAGGUGAAAUUCGUAGAUAUCAGGAGGAACACCCGUGGCGAAGGCGACUUCCUGGCCCAAUACUGACGCUGAGACGCGAGAGCGUGGGGAGCAAACAG